This 504-nucleotide ribosomal RNA is filed under the name Staphylococcus aureus. Its description in RNAcentral is "bacterial SSU rRNA". It matches the Rfam family "Bacterial small subunit ribosomal RNA", at positions 233 to 729 of the family's 1533-position model. Lineage: Bacteria; Bacillati; Bacillota; Bacilli; Caryophanales; Staphylococcaceae. The record is from RNAcentral.
GCGCUGCAUUAGCUAGUUGGUAAGGUAACGGCUUACCAAGGCAACGAUGCAUAGCCGACCUGAGAGGGUGAUCGGCCACACUGGAACUGAGACACGGUCCAGACUCCUACGGGAGGCAGCAGUAGGGAAUCUUCCGCAAUGGGCGAAAGCCUGACGGAGCAACGCCGCGUGAGUGAUGAAGGUCUUCGGAUCGUAAAACUCUGUUAUUAGGGAAGAACAUAUGUGUAAGUAACUGUGCACAUCUUGACGGUACCUAAUCAGAAAGCCACGGCUAACUACGUGCCAGCAGCCGCGGUAAUACGUAGGUGGCAAGCGUUAUCCGGAAUUAUUGGGCGUAAAGCGCGCGUAGGCGGUUUUUUAAGUCUGAUGUGAAAGCCCACGGCUCAACCGUGGAGGGUCAUUGGAAACUGGAAAACUUGAGUGCAGAAGAGGAAAGUGGAAUUCCAUGUGUAGCGGUGAAAUGCGCAGAGAUAUGGAGGAACACCAGUGGCGAAGGCGACUUUC